Streptomyces albus subsp. albus is the source of this 75-nucleotide non-coding RNA. The record is from Rfam. NCBI's taxonomy places the organism in Bacteria, Bacillati, Actinomycetota, Actinomycetes, Kitasatosporales, Streptomycetaceae.
CUUCAACGAGCCCAGCCACAGCGGCUGCCCCGCGGGCCGCUCCUGGCCGUAGGCGGCCAGCAGCGCCUGCGCCUC